UACAAAGGUCUCAAGCGUUGUUCGGAUUCAUUGGGCGUAAAGGGUGCGUAGGCGGCGGGGCAAGUCGGAUGUGAAAUCUCAGGGCUCAACCCUGAAACUGCAUUCGAUACUGCCUUGCUCGAGGACUGGAGAGGAGAUUGGAAUUCACGGUGUAGCAGUGAAAUGCGUAGAUAUCGUGAGGAAGACCAGUGGCGAAGGCGGAUCUCUGGACAGUUCCUGACGCUGAGGCACGAAGGCCAGGGGAGCAAACAGG
RNAcentral lists this ribosomal RNA (253 nucleotides) under uncultured bacterium. RNAcentral's name for it is "partial 16S ribosomal RNA". It matches the Rfam family "Bacterial small subunit ribosomal RNA", at positions 524 to 776 of the family's 1533-position model. The record is from RNAcentral.